GACGAACGCUGGCGGCGUGCUUAACACAUGCAAGUCGAACGCUGAAGCUCAGCUUUUGUUGGGUGGAUGAGUGGCGAACGGGUGAGUAACACGUGAGUAACCUGCCCCCUUCUUUGGGAUAACGCCCGGAAACGGGUGCUAAUACUGGAUAUUCACUGGUCUUCGCAUGGGGGUUGGUGGAAAGGGUUUUUCUGGUGGGGGAUGGGCUCGCGGCCUAUCAGCUUGUUGGUGGGGUGAUGGCCUACCAAGGCUUUGACGGGUAGCCGGCCUGAGAGGGUGACCGGUCACAUCGGGACUGAGAUCCGGCCCAGACUCCUACGGGAGGCAGCAGUGGGGAGUAUUGCACAAUGGGCGCAAGCCUGAUGCAGCGGCGCCGCGGGAGGGAUGGAGGCCGUCGGGUUGUGAACCUCUUUCGCUCAUGGUCAAGCCGCAACAAUGGUUGUGGUGAGGGUAGUGGGUAAAGAAGCGCCGGCUAACUACGUG
Molecule: ribosomal RNA, 483 nt
Filed under: uncultured bacterium
Lineage: Bacteria
Description: partial 16S ribosomal RNA
Rfam family: Bacterial small subunit ribosomal RNA
Source: RNAcentral